GUGGGUAUAGCUCAGUGGUAGAGUACAUGCCUAGCAUGCACAAGGUUUUGGAUUCAAUUCCCAGUACCUCCU
RNAcentral lists this transfer RNA (72 nucleotides) under Camelus bactrianus (Bactrian camel). It matches the Rfam family "tRNA". Rfam says of the family: Transfer RNA (tRNA) molecules are approximately 80 nucleotides in length. Their secondary structure includes four short double-helical elements and three loops (D, anti-codon, and T loops). Lineage: Eukaryota; Metazoa; Chordata; Mammalia; Artiodactyla; Camelidae. The record is from Rfam by way of RNAcentral. RNAcentral also lists the same sequence under 2 other names.